ACAACCCAAACCCUCAUUCUAAGAGAUGGGGUCUCACACACAAAACCUCUCUUUUCUUAUCCUCCUUCUCCUAGGCUUCCUUGCUGUCUCAUUCGCUUGCGAAUGUAGCCCUCCUAAACCAUCACCGAGUCCUCACAAACCGCCUAAACAUCCCGUCAAACCGCCUAAACCACCAGCAGCCAAACCACCAAAACCACCGGCAGUAAAACCUCCUAAACCCCCCACCAAACCUCCCACCCUUAAACCACACCCCCACCCUAAACCUCCCACUAAACCCCCCACCGUUAGACCACACCCACACCCUAAGCCCCCUACCAAACCUCAUCCCAUCCCAAAACCGCCCACCGUUAAACCACCACCCUCCACCCCCAAACCGCCCACAAAACCACCCACCGUUAAACCGCCUCCAUCCACCCCUAAGCCGCCCACCAAACCACCCACCGUCAAACCACCACCCUCCACCCCAAAACCGCCCACCAAGCCACCCACCGUCAAACCACCUCCGUCCACCCCUAAACCACCUACCCACAAGCCACCAAUAGUGUGCCCACCGCCAACACCAACACCAACCCCACCUGUUGUAACGCCACCAACACCACCAACACCAACUCCACCAGUCGUUACGCCACCAACACCAGCUCCACCUGUUGUAACGCCACCAACACCAACACCACCGGUCGUAACGCCACCGACACCAACCCCUCCUGUCGUAACACCACCAACACCACCGGUCGUAACGCCACCGACACCAACCCCUCCUGUCGUAACACCACCAACACCACCGGUCGUAACGCCACCGACACCAACCCCUCCUGUCGUAACACCUCCAACACCACCGGUCGUAACGCCACCGACACCAACCCCUCCUGUCGUAAUACCUCCAACACCACCGGUCGUAACGCCACCGACACCAACCCCUCCUGUCGUAACACCACCAACACCAACUCCACCUAAGCCAGAAACAUGCCCAAUCGACACGUUGAAGCUAGGCGCUUGUGUAGACGUUCUUGGAGGUUUGAUUCACAUCGGGCUUGGUGGAAGUAGCGCCAAGAAAGAGAGUUGUCCGGUUUUGGGAGGCUUAGUUGACUUAGACGCAGCUGUUUGUCUAUGUACCACCAUUAAAGCCAAACUUCUCAACCUCGACCUUAUUAUCCCCAUUGCUCUUGAGCUUCUUAUCGACUGUGGAAAGACUCCGCCACCUGGCUUCAAAUGUCCCUCUUAAUGAAUGAAGUGUCUCUCUAUCGUGUUUUUCUUUCUUUCUUUCAAGAAUUUGUUAGUUUGAUAAUCUCUUGGGUGAGGUUAAUUUGCGUGUGUGGGACCUUUAAUCACUUGUUUUGUUGUACAAUAAAAGGCUAUGUAAAACGGUAUAAUUAUCUUUCAACAAAAACAAGUUUAUAUCUCAAUAAAAGGCUAUGUAAAAGGUUUCAGUAUCUUUAACCGUAGGACCGCGAAAAUCCUGAUUGAAAAGCACGAAACAGAAAUCGAUAUAAACGGUAAGAUGAAGAUACAAAAUAUUUAAGAAAUCGUUUAGGAAAUAGAUGAAUUCACGUAGUCGAGAUUUGAUAUAUUUCCUUAACUCAAUAAAUCGCCCGUAUUGUGUGACAGUUUGAAUGCAGUCUAUGAUCCGUCUAUGACGGUUCCCAAACCCAACUCGCGGAUCAUCUCCUCUAGAUCCGUCUCGAGCCGAAGUCUCCGUAUAGGGUGCGAUGGUAACCUUCAGCCACUCAUUGUAGAAUAGGCUGUCAAAGUCGUCCCACGCAUCUUUGAUUUCGCGGUGGGUAUGCAUUUGAUGUCCUUGACGGCAGCGUGAGGGUCGGCAUAAUGCUCAAAGGUCCCAAGGGGUUCUCCUUCAUUUUCCCUCGACCAAGGAUCUCGGUCGGUUUCCGGAGGUGGUGGUGGUGCGCUGGAACUGCUAGGACGAUCAAAAUGUCUCUUGGUUCUCCUCUCUUUGUCGGUCAUCUGCAAACAAAGACCACAAGAGGAAAUUGCAAAAUUAGCGAGGAGGAAGAAACGAUGAUCGAUAUCGAUCGAUACAUGAGUGUCGACAUCGAUCGUCAGCUUGAGUGAACCAUUGACCGACAUGGAUAUCGUGUUGUCGAUCGACGGUUCAUUGCGAAACCUGUAAAAAUUCAACCUUUGCAAUUUGAUUCCAUAUAACACAAUGGUUACACAAUUCAGUAUAUAUCUCGUUUCCCAUUGAUCUAACAGUCCUAAUAUUGUUAGAUUGAGCCACAAUUCAGAGUUUUAGUUCAUCUCAAGUAUCCACCUAGAAAGCUUUAAAGUUUGAAAAUUUUGAAGUCAUACCUUGUAGAUCGGUUGAUUGAGUGAACUAAAUAGAUAGAGAAGUGAUAAUCAAGUGGAUUAGGCUCAAGAACUGCUAAAACGGAUGAGAAUGAUAUCACUCAAAUUACCCUAAGGAGUGACUUUACUCUCUCAAAUAAGAGAUUCAGUUGUAGUACUUAGGGAUCGAAUCCACAGAGAGCUAGGACACACAAAAGAUCUAAUAGUUAUAUCAUUAAGCUAGGCUAAUAGGUUUAAAGCAGUAAAUAUAGAUAGCAAAGCAGUAAAUAAAGCAGUAAACAAGUUGAACAAGACAAUUGUUCAGCUUGGCAGAGAGUUGUUUGAUGGAAGGAUGGUUUGCUAGAUCUAGGAUUUCUAUUCAGGAAAUCAGGAUUAUAAUGAUAUAGAGACUUAAGCAAGAUAUUAUAGAACUCAAUGAUUAGAAUAACCGAUCAUCUCUCGAUUUCUAGAUUAUCUAUUACUACAUCCAAGACCUUCAACUCUCGAUGUCAAAUCUUAGAAAGCGUCGAUCGAUGUCUCUAUAAGAGCAUCGACCGAUACGCCUUUCGUCGUGUCGAUCGAUAUCUCAUUAGGAGAAUCGAUCGACACGCUUCUUGUAAGCGUUUAGCGUGGGUUGAUUAAAUGUUCACUAGGAUUUCUAGAUCAACUCUCGUUUGUUUCUAUCAAUCCUAGCUCAAAGAAGUCAAGUCAGAUAAAACCCCAAGCUUUCGCUUGUGCUUAAUAAAUCUAUGAUCAAGUUCAAGUUAAUUACUCAAGAACAAGCAAUAAGAACAUACUCAAUGAUGAAUAUCACAACUUAGCAAUUCCAUAUUUGGGGCUAAUCUCACAUAACCUAAAUAAACCCUAAAUCUAAAAGGUGGAUCUAUUCAGACAUGAAGUUUGUCACAAAAAUCAUAGAUGAAUAGAUAUAAAUCUGCAAUAGAUAUAAAACCAAAACCAAUGGAGUUCUAGGAGGAGUCUGAAGGAGUUCUUCCCUUAUCUCCUAACCUAAAACAAGAAUUAAAGAAAGCUUAGAUAGCGAAGCCGUCAACAAUGGCUUAUAAAUAACAUAAAUAGGGUUUCUGGUCGUCUAAGAGUAUUCUGGUAAUUUGAGGUUGCUUAUGGGCUUCAGCGGUCACAAAAUAUGCUCAGCACAUAUUCUGGCAUCACUGUCGAUCGACACCAAUGCUGUUUCAUCGAUCGUCAGUCCUUCAUCUCCUCGACAGCUUCCUCUCGCGAGGCAGACUGACCACGCUUCAGUAAAACGGACAUAACCUCUACUACAGGAUGAUGAUUGACCUAAACCCGGCGGCAUUGGAAAGAUAACUCAAAGAUAUAUCUUUUUUAUAAAUAUGGGCUCAAUCUAAUGGUGGGAAGGUCUCCAUCCAUAGCUAAAUAUCUGACGUGUCUGUGCAGUUCUGCACCUCAAAAGACUCCAAAAUCACCAUAUUUCUCCAGAACGUACCUGAACCUGUAAAUACUCUAAAAAGACUCCAAAAAAUAAUAAUUAUAUCUUAAAAAACUUAUAUACAAUGGCUGAAAGUGGGUAAAAUCCAUGGUAUAUCAGAGAAACAAGAGAGAAAUCGAUGGGUGAAUGUUUCAGAGAGUUUUCGCAAUUUAGGAUGAAAUCAAUGAAGUGUCGAUUUAAAUAGGUCCGCGACUCAACAGCGACUAUCGAUCGACGUAGAGAGUGCAAUGUCGAUCGAUGUUGGAUUUUUAAAGUGCAAAGUUAUUUUAGUUAGUUAGUUAGUUAGUUUUUUUAUUCUUUUUUAUUUGAAAAAGAUCCAAAUUCUAAAAGUCUAAUUUUCUAAAUAAGUUAGUGGGUUGCCUCCCACUCAGUGCUUAUUUCAAGUCGUAAGCUUGACUUUCAAAUGGAACUAAUCGGCGAUUGGAGGAUCCAAUCGUAGAAUUUGACUGUCUGGGAUAAUUGCUUAUGUCUAUUAAUGUUUUGCUCUAUGUCCAUUCACUGUGAAUUCAUUUCCUUCUUUUCUUACUAAAGUAAUGCCUCCGUGAGGUCAUACUUCUUUGACCGUAUAGGGGCCUGUCCAUCGGGAACGAAGUUUUCCAGGAAAAAGUGUCAGACGGGAGUUGUACAAGAGCACUUGGUCGUUCGGUUUGAAAUGUCUGGAGAUGAUUUUCUUGUCAUGGUAGGCCUUCGCCUUUUCCUUGUAUAUCUUUGAAUUCUAAUACGCAAGAUGUCUAAUCUCAUCUAACUCGUUAAGUUGAAUCAAUCUCCUCUCAGCAGCUGGCUUGAUGUCGAAGUUAAUUAGUUCUACUGCCCAAGCUGCUUUGUGUUCUAGUUCAACCGGUAAAUGACAAGCUUUUCCGUAAAGUAAAUGGAACGCUGUUGUCCCUAAAAGUGUUUUAAAAGCUUUUCUGUAGGCCCAUAUUGUGUUGUCCAACUUUUUUGACCAGUCUUUUCUUGUGGUCCCUAAAAUCUUCUCUAGGAUUUCUUUUAUCUGGCUAUUUGAAACUUUUACUUGUCCGCUCAUUUGAGGAUGAUAGAGGGUGGCAAGUCGGUGGUGAAAUCCAUGCUUUUUGAGCAAAUUUUCAAACAUUCUAUUAAUGAAAUGGGAAUCACCAUCACUUAUCACCACUCUAGGGACACCAAAUCUCGGAAAAAUGAUGCUUUUAAAUUUUUUAAUGAUAACUUCUACCUCAUUCGUUGGGGAAGCCACCGCUUCAACCCAUUUGGACACAUAGUCAACAUCAACCAAGAUGUAUCUAUUUACAUAUGAAGAGGGAAAAUGGCGCAUCAAAUCAAUUCCCCAGCAAUCAAAAACUUCUACUUCGAGGAUAAAAUUAUGUUUAUUUCGUGUCUUUUGCUGAUUUUUCCUCUUCGUUGGCAUCUAUCACAUCUAACUAUGUGUGCAUGAGUGUCGCGAAAUAUGGUUAGUCACCAAAAACCUGCUUGCAGAAUUUUUGAUACCAUCUUGAAGGUGGAGAAAUGUCCAGCAUAAUCAGAUCCAUGGCAAUGAAAUAGGAUAUCUGGAAUUUCACUUUUUACGGCAUAGCAUCUGUAGAUUCCAUCUGAACAAUGUUUGUAGAGAUAUAGUUCAUCUUAGUAGUAUCGUCGAACUUCUCUCAGAAAUUUAUUCUUUGUAUAUCCUUUGAAAGUUUCCGGUUCUACGUCAGCAGCUAGAUAGUUUACUAUAUCAGCAUACCAGGGUCUAUUUGUGAUAUUUCCAUUUAUUGCGUGCACAUCCUGACUUAACUUUCUAUUUUUUGUAGGGUUCGAUUUAGAUUUAAGUUGGCUGCAAGCGACAUUGACUUCCAAGCCGAUAAGAAUCUUAUUGGGGAAUGAGUCGUGAUGUCGGUUAUCAGUAUCGUCGAUCGAUAAUCCAGGAAUGGUGUCGCUCGACGAUUCAUGCGUGAUAACGGUCGACAUUCCCUCAGUGGUAUCAAUCGACAUCGUUUCAGACGUAAGACAUAUGUUACCGAUGAAUGAAGAGUCCAUUUGAUAUAUGUUCUCCUUUGGUUGGAAGUCAUCAAUGGGACAUCAUUCUCGACUCUUAUUCGGGAGAGGUGAUCAGCAACUCCAUUGUCAACUCCUCUUUUAUCUUUUAUUUCUAUAUCAAAUUCUUGGAGUAACAAGAUCCAUCGCAGAAGUCUUGGCUUUGCGUCUUUCUUCUGCAUUAAAUAUUUCAAUGCGGCGUGGUCCGUGCGAACAACAACUUUUGAACUGACCAAGUAUUGUCUAAACUUCUCGAACGCGAAGACAAUGGCGAGUAAUUCUUUUUCCGUUGUUGUAUAGUUUCGUUGCACGUCAUCGAGAGUGCAACUGGCGUAAUAAACAUCGUGUAGCUUGUUAUCCUUCUUCUGACCUAAAACAGCCCCGACUGCAAAAUCACUCGCGUCACACAUUAUCUCAAAUGGGAGGCUCCAGUCCGGAGCUUGCACGAUAGGGGCGGAUAUCAAGGCAGUUUUAAUCUCCUCAAAAGCUUUUAAGCAUUCUGGUGUGAAAUCAAAUUUCACUUCUUUGCAAAACAGAGCAGUGAGAGGUCUAGCGAUUUUACUAAAAUCCUUAAUAAAUCUCCGGUAUAAUCUAGCAUGUCCGAGAAAACUCCUCAUGUCUUUUACAGUCGUGGGUGCAAGUAAACCGGUCAUAAC
RNAcentral lists this long non-coding RNA (6390 nucleotides) under Brassica napus (rape). Its description in RNAcentral is "long non-coding RNA (BNAP_LNC017666)". The record is from RNAcentral. Lineage: Eukaryota; Viridiplantae; Streptophyta; Magnoliopsida; Brassicales; Brassicaceae.